ACUUUGCUAGCCCCCUUUUUCUUUCUUUUUCUUUUCUUUUCAUAUUUUUUUUUUUUUUUUUUUUUAAAUGGGGGCCAAGACUUUUCAUAACUUGAGCUAGAGGUUUUUUUUUUUUACUUAUCCCAGUAAGACAAUUCACUUAAACACAAAGAGUUAUUUAUUUUCCUUUUUCAUUGCUCCCAAAUCAUAAUCACAACUCUCACCCCCCCCCCCACCUAUAGCUAGACAAUAGAGUGCCCAAUC
Molecule: long non-coding RNA, 243 nt
Filed under: Brassica napus (rape)
Lineage: Eukaryota; Viridiplantae; Streptophyta; Magnoliopsida; Brassicales; Brassicaceae
Description: long non-coding RNA (BNAP_LNC014591)
Source: RNAcentral